Lynx canadensis (Canada lynx) is the source of this 90-nucleotide long non-coding RNA. RefSeq lists it as uncharacterized. The record is from RefSeq and is a predicted model, not a curated record. NCBI's taxonomy places the organism in Eukaryota, Metazoa, Chordata, Mammalia, Carnivora, Felidae. The transcript is spliced from 3 exons.
UAACAUACAGUUCUGGGUUUGUUUCUGGGUUUUCUGUACUGUUUCAUUGAUCCAUGUAUCGGUUUUUAUGCCAGUACCAUACCGUUUUGA